This is a non-coding RNA of Peromyscus maniculatus bairdii (prairie deer mouse), 521 nucleotides long. NCBI's taxonomy places the organism in Eukaryota, Metazoa, Chordata, Mammalia, Rodentia, Cricetidae. The record is from RefSeq and is a predicted model, not a curated record.
AUGUGCGCAUGUGCGUCAUUGGGUGGGACGCAUGCGUAGGGAGCUGUGAGAUAAACCUGAGCCACUGCGGCAAGUCUGGCGUAGAGAGGAGAGGGAGCUGGAGAUGUCUGACGCUUGGUUCUGAGGAGCGAUUUCAACGCGAUGGAGCGAGCAAGGGAUCGCUUACACCUGAGAAGAACUACUGAACAGCACGUACCAGAGGUAGAAGUCCAGGUCAAACGUAGAAGGACUGCCUCCCUGAGCAACCAAGAGUGUCACCUGUACCCAAGACGUUCUCAGCAGCAGCAGCAGCAAGUUCCUGUGGUGGAUUUCCAGGCAGAACUGAGACAGGCGUUCUUAGCUGAGACACCAAGAGGUGGUUAGAGUAGUAUUGAAACAUCAAGGUGGUGGAAAUCAAGGAAAACAGGAAACUGCAGAGGCCUGAGAGGGCAUCAGGAUCCCCUGGAUCUGGAUGGAGAUGGAGACAUAUGGACCCAUCCAUUGUCUGAAGCGUCAGUCAAGCUUACAUUGUGUCUAAGAAC